CCAUGCCGAACUCAGAAGUGAAACGCCGUAGCGCCGAUGGUAGUGUGGGGUCUCCCCAUGCGAGAGUAGGGAACUGCCAGGCA
RNAcentral lists this ribosomal RNA (83 nucleotides) under Escherichia coli MP021552.11. Lineage: Bacteria; Pseudomonadati; Pseudomonadota; Gammaproteobacteria; Enterobacterales; Enterobacteriaceae. RNAcentral also lists the same sequence under 2 other names. The record is from RNAcentral.